Molecule: ribosomal RNA, 2906 nt
Filed under: Escherichia albertii
Lineage: Bacteria; Pseudomonadati; Pseudomonadota; Gammaproteobacteria; Enterobacterales; Enterobacteriaceae
Description: 23S ribosomal RNA
Rfam family: Bacterial large subunit ribosomal RNA
Source: RNAcentral
GGUUAAGCGACUAAGCGUACACGGUGGAUGCCCUGGCAGUCAGAGGCGAUGAAGGACGUGCUAAUCUGCGAAAAGCGUCGGUAAGGUGAUAUGAACCGUUAUAACCGGCGAUGUCCGAAUGGGGAAACCCAGUGUGUUUCGACACACUAUCAUUAACUGAAUCCAUAGGUUAAUGAGGCGAACCGGGGGAACUGAAACAUCUAAGUACCCCGAGGAAAAGAAAUCAACCGAGAUUCCCCCAGUAGCGGCGAGCGAACGGGGAGGAGCCCAGAGCCUGAAUCAGUGUGUGUGUUAGUGGAAGCGUCUGGAAAGGCGUGCGAUACAGGGUGACAGCCCCGUACACAAAAAUGCACAUGCUGUGAGCUCGAUGAGUAGGGCGGGACACGUGGUAUCCUGUCUGAAUAUGGGGGGACCAUCCUCCAAGGCUAAAUACUCCUGACUGACCGAUAGUGAACCAGUACCGUGAGGGAAAGGCGAAAAGAACCCCGGCGAGGGGAGUGAAAAAGAACCUGAAACCGUGUACGUACAAGCAGUGGGAGCCCUGAUUUAUCAGGGUGACUGCGUACCUUUUGUAUAAUGGGUCAGCGACUUAUAUUCUGUAGCAAGGUUAACCGAAUAGGGGAGCCGGAGGGAAACCGAGUCUUAACUGGGCGUUAAGUUGCAGGGUAUAGACCCGAAACCCGGUGAUCUAGCCAUGGGCAGGUUGAAGGUUGGGUAACACUAACUGGAGGACCGAACCGACUAAUGUUGAAAAAUUAGCGGAUGACUUGUGGCUGGGGGUGAAAGGCCAAUCAAACCGGGAGAUAGCUGGUUCUCCCCGAAAGCUAUUUAGGUAGCGCCUCGUGAAUUCAUCUCCGGGGGUAGAGCACUGUUUCGGCAAGGGGGUCAUCCCGACUUACCAACCCGAUGCAAACUGCGAAUACCGGAGAAUGUUAUCACGGGAGACACACGGCGGGUGCUAACGUCCGUCGUGAAGAGGGAAACAACCCAGACCGCCAGCUAAGGUCCCAAAGUCAUGGUUAAGUGGGAAACGAUGUGGGAAGGCCCAGACAGCCAGGAUGUUGGCUUAGAAGCAGCCAUCAUUUAAAGAAAGCGUAAUAGCUCACUGGUCGAGUCGGCCUGCGCGGAAGAUGUAACGGGGCUAAACCAUGCACCGAAGCUGCGGCAGCGACGCUGAUGCGUUGUUGGGUAGGGGAGCGUUCUGUAAGCCUGUGAAGGUAUGCUGUGAGGCAUGCUGGAGGUAUCAGAAGUGCGAAUGCUGACAUAAGUAACGAUAAAGCGGGUGAAAAGCCCGCUCGCCGGAAGACCAAGGGUUCCUGUCCAACGUUAAUCGGGGCAGGGUGAGUCGACCCCUAAGGCGAGGCCGAAAGGCGUAGUCGAUGGGAAACAGGUUAAUAUUCCUGUACUUGGUGUUACUGCGAAGGGGGGACGGAGAAGGCUAUGUUGGCCGGGCGACGGUUGUCCCGGUUUAAGCGUGUAGGCUGGUUUUCCAGGCAAAUCCGGAGAAUCAAGGCUGAGGCGUGAUGACGAGGCACUACGGUGCUGAAGCAACAAAUGCCCUGCUUCCAGGAAAAGCCUCUAAGCAUCAGGUAACAUCAAAUCGUACCCCAAACCGACACAGGUGGUCAGGUAGAGAAUACCAAGGCGCUUGAGAGAACUCGGGUGAAGGAACUAGGCAAAAUGGUGCCGUAACUUCGGGAGAAGGCACGCUGAUAUGUAGGUGAAGCGACUUGCUCGUGGAGCUGAAAUCAGUCGAAGAUACCAGCUGGCUGCAACUGUUUAUUAAAAACACAGCACUGUGCAAACACGAAAGUGGACGUAUACGGUGUGACGCCUGCCCGGUGCCGGAAGGUUAAUUGAUGGGGUCAGCGCAAGCGAAGCUCUUGAUCGAAGCCCCGGUAAACGGCGGCCGUAACUAUAACGGUCCUAAGGUAGCGAAAUUCCUUGUCGGGUAAGUUCCGACCUGCACGAAUGGCGUAAUGAUGGCCAGGCUGUCUCCACCCGAGACUCAGUGAAAUUGAACUCGCUGUGAAGAUGCAGUGUACCCGCGGCAAGACGGAAAGACCCCGUGAACCUUUACUAUAGCUUGACACUGAACACUGGUCCUUGAUGUGUAGGAUAGGUGGGAGGCUUUGAAGUGUGGACGCCAGUCUGCAUGGAGCCGUCCUUGAAAUACCACCCUUUAAUGGCUGGUGUUCUAACGUAGGCCCCUUAUCGGGGUUGCGGACAGUGUCUGGUGGGUAGUUUGACUGGGGCGGUCUCCUCCUAAAGAGUAACGGAGGAGCACGAAGGUUGGCUAAUCCUGGUCGGACAUCAGGAGGUUAGUGCAAUGGCAUAAGCCAGCUUGACUGCGAGCGUGACGGCGCGAGCAGGUGCGAAAGCAGGUCAUAGUGAUCCGGUGGUUCUGAAUGGAAGGGCCAUCGCUCAACGGAUAAAAGGUACUCCGGGGAUAACAGGCUGAUACCGCCCAAGAGUUCAUAUCGACGGCGGUGUUUGGCACCUCGAUGUCGGCUCAUCACAUCCUGGGGCUGAAGUAGGUCCCAAGGGUAUGGCUGUUCGCCAUUUAAAGUGGUACGCGAGCUGGGUUUAGAACGUCGUGAGACAGUUCGGUCCCUAUCUGCCGUGGGCGCUGGAGAACUGAGGGGGGCUGCUCCUAGUACGAGAGGACCGGAGUGGACGCAUCACUGGUGUUCGGGUUGUCAUGCCAAUGGCACUGCCCGGUAGCUAAAUGCGGAAGAGAUAAGUGCUGAAAGCAUCUAAGCACGAAACUUGCCCCGAGAUGAGUUCUCCCUGAGACCUGGAGUCUCCUGAAGGAACGUUGAAGACGACGACGUUGAUAGGCCGGGUGUGUAAGCGCAGCGAUGCGUUGAGCUAACCGGUACUAAUGAACCGUGAGGCUUAACCUU